Molecule: transfer RNA, 84 nt
Filed under: Eggerthellaceae bacterium
Lineage: Bacteria; Bacillati; Actinomycetota; Coriobacteriia; Eggerthellales; Eggerthellaceae
Also listed under: 5 other names
Description: tRNA-Leu
Rfam family: tRNA
About the family: Transfer RNA (tRNA) molecules are approximately 80 nucleotides in length. Their secondary structure includes four short double-helical elements and three loops (D, anti-codon, and T loops).
Source: RNAcentral
GCCCGAGUGACGGAAUGGCAGACGUGGCGGUCUCAAAAACCGUUGUCGAAAGACGUGCGAGUUCGACUCUCGCCUCGGGCACCA